Molecule: long non-coding RNA, 175 nt
Organism: Pan troglodytes (chimpanzee)
Lineage: Eukaryota; Metazoa; Chordata; Mammalia; Primates; Hominidae
Exons: 2
Source: RefSeq, a predicted model, not a curated record
GUCAGAGGAAGAUGUGACCACAGAAGAAUGGUCAGAGAGAUGUAAUGCUGCUAGCUUUGAAGAUGGAGGAAGGGGGCCACAAGCCAAGGCGGGGACAUGAAUCCACCUGGAGCGGUCUUCAUGGUCAACUGGGAUCUUUAUUCGUUCCUAAAAUAAAUCUUACUAUCACAUGCAA